UACGGAGGAUGCGAGCGUUAUCCGGAUUUAUUGGGUUUAAAGGGUGCGUAGGCGGACUGUUAAGUCAGCGGUAAAAGCCCGGGGCUCAACCCCGGCGAGCCGUUGAAACUGGCUGUCUUGAGAUGUCGAGAGGUAUGCGGAAUGCGCAGUGUAGCGGUGAAAUGCUUAGAUAUCACGAAGAACUCCGAUUGCGAAGGCAGCUCACUGGACUGCAACUGACACUGAGGCUCGAAAGUGUGGGUAUCAAACAGG
Molecule: ribosomal RNA, 252 nt
Filed under: uncultured Bacteroidales bacterium
Lineage: Bacteria; Pseudomonadati; Bacteroidota; Bacteroidia; Bacteroidales
Description: partial 16S ribosomal RNA
Rfam family: Bacterial small subunit ribosomal RNA
Source: RNAcentral